Molecule: unclassified non-coding RNA, 87 nt
Filed under: Pseudomonas azotoformans
Lineage: Bacteria; Pseudomonadati; Pseudomonadota; Gammaproteobacteria; Pseudomonadales; Pseudomonadaceae
Source: RNAcentral
GUGGGAGGGGGCUUGCCCCCGAUAGCGGUGGGUCAGCCAGGUCAAUGGUGACUGGCACUCCGCAAUCGGGGGCAAGCCCCCUCCCAC